GGGGCAUGUGCCUGGACGCCCAUGGGCUCCCGUCGGCAACACAGGGCCUCCUUUAGGCUUCUAGACCCUCAAGGAGAGCCAGGGCAGGCUGGGAACUCCUGGGAAGGGCCUUGAGAGGUUAAAAAAGAACUUACUGGUUUUCUGUCUGAUUGUAAAACUAUAUGCUCGUGGCGGGGAACUUGGCAAAUGGAGAACAAGGAGAAAGAGAAAGCAAGCUAGAGCUGUGGACCCGGACAGUUAGCUUCUCAUUCAUCUUCCAGAUAAAGUCCCCCGACGGAAGUGGUAGCCCAUGCGGGCAGCCACGUCCGUCUCUGGCUGUUCCCCAGGACUGCCUCCACUGACCUCCUGCCCCCGAAGCUGGCUCCUUUCAUGUUUUAGGCUCAGCUCCAAUUCAGUCCUCGGAGACCUCCCUGACCCCUGUCUGCAUCCCAGUUGCUUAGCCUGGGUGGAUUUUUUUUUUUUUUUUUUUUCCUGGAACUCACUUCUGUUUCUAAUUCUCUCAUUUCCUUGUUUGUUGGCUGGCCACCAUUCCCAGGAAUCUACCUGAGGGCCCUGCCUCAAGGGCACAGGGUCUGUGCAUCGGUGGGGGCUUCAUUGUUAUUUCUUAAUUAGGGAGUAGCCCACCGAGGUUUCUAGUAUUUCAACCACAUGAAUGUGGCGAUGAUGAACGUGGCCCAUAUGUAUAAAUAUUCACUGAGCCCUGCCUGUUUUUUUCCCUCUCUUGGAAUAUCUCAUAUGUACGCCAUUCUCCUCCCCUCUUUCUCUGUGUGUCUGUUGUUUGUUUUCUGGAAGGGGUCAGAGUACUGAGCUGGGGGCAGGGACUUCACGUCCCUAACUCCUGCUUCAGCCUUUGGCAAAUUCCAUGACUCCAAUGCCUCUUUUUUCUUUUCUGUGUUUGAAAAGCCAGUAAAGAAUUCUGCCUAAGGUAUGAGUUGUGAGCCCCAAAUAAGAUCCUGGAACUCUCUAGACUCAAAAGAAACAGUGAAGAAACACACACACCCCCCACGGAAAGGUCCACACUCAUUCUUCCGCUUUCAUUAAAGCCCCAGAGAGGGUCACUUGGAGACUGAGGUGCCCCAGACGCCACGGAGUACCCCAGCUCCCCUUGUGUCGCCGGCUUCUCCCUCCUCCCUAGAAUCUGGGGUCACCUCUGUAUUGGAUCCCCGCGGAAGAGGUUCCCAAUAUCCAAACCCAGAAAAUAAAUCUGGAGAGAGAACCCCUCGACUCCAUCUGCACACUCGCUGGCCCCCUUCCCAGGCCCUGGCCGGUGCCCGAGUGUCCCAGGGAUGGAUGGGCACGGCUUGGGGCGCCCCACUUCGUCGGGGGCUGCCUCCUCGAAUUGAGCGGGGUCAGGGGGCCUGGGGUACAAGGGUGUGCCUGUCAGAGUCCUAGGUGGGACGGGAGCGGGGUGGGGGGAGGCGCUGGGAGUCAGGGUGGAGGGCGUAUAAGGGACCCGCGGGGUGGCGUCACCCGACUCACCGCCCCCCGAGACAUCACAAUCUGGGGGCCGGGACCCCGCGCUUCAUCACCAACCCUUUUGCAACCACACAAUCCCAGCCACAAAC
Molecule: long non-coding RNA, 1565 nt
Organism: Bos taurus (domestic cattle)
Lineage: Eukaryota; Metazoa; Chordata; Mammalia; Artiodactyla; Bovidae
Source: Ensembl